CUCGGAAGGAUCAUAAUGAAUCAUUCUUCUCUGACUAUUGUUCUUGAGCCUAACAAGGCAAUUUGUUUUACAAUGCCAUUUGACACAUCUUCAACGAUGGAUCUCUUGGCUCCCACCUCGAUGAAGAACGCAGCGAAAUGCGAUACGCAGUGCGAAUUGCAGAACCGCGAGUCAUCAGAUCUUCGAACGCAUCGGCGCCAAGAUAUCUUGGCAUGUUUAAUUCAGCGUGUCUAGUCAUCAAAAAUUUAUGUGAUUGAGGAAUCUUUCACUGAGAAUGUAGAAUCGUUGAUAAUUCCGAAUGGUCACGAAAGUGAUGGAAUUAUCAAAAACGAUGUUAUAAAAAGCACCUGAAUUAAGCAAGAUUACCCGCUGAACUUAAGCAUAUCAGUAAGCGGAGGAAAAGAAACUAACAAGGAUUGUCUCAGUAGCGGCGAGUGAAGAGACAUCAGCCCAAGAUGAGAAUCUGCGGUGUGAAACCGUGGAGUUGUAAUCUCGACAGUCAUUCGUGUUCGGACUCCCUGGCUAACUUGCUUGGAAGAGUAGGCCAUAGAAGGUGAGAGCCCUGUAGGCUAGGGAAGAGGAGUAAACGAAUGUUUGGAAGAGUCGGGUUGUUUGGGAAUGCAGCCCUAAGUGGGAGAUAGACAUCUUCUAAGGCUAAAUACCGGUGGGAGACCGAUAGCGCACAAGUACUGCGAAGGAAAGAUGAAAAGAACUUUGAAAAGAGAGUUAAAAGAUGUGAAAUCGUUGAAGCGGAACUGAUCGCAGCCCGUCCAUGCCUUAGUCUCGUAUGAUGCAACAAGUCCACCUGCGCUCAAACGCAGAGACCAAAUGCAAAAAUACUGCUGAGGACAAUCACAGAAUCAACUUUGUAUUAGAGAGAAAACGUCCAGAUGAGUUUUUCGCGGGAAUGUAAUCUAAUAUGGAGUGAGGAUGAUUCUGUGAAAGCGACUGUGAUCGACCCG
RNAcentral lists this ribosomal RNA (962 nucleotides) under Trichodina reticulata. RNAcentral describes it as "eukaryotic LSU rRNA". The stretch from base 343 to 962 matches the Rfam family "Eukaryotic large subunit ribosomal RNA", at positions 1 to 651 of the family's 3401-position model. The record is from RNAcentral. Lineage: Eukaryota; Ciliophora; Oligohymenophorea; Mobilida; Trichodinidae.